Neofelis nebulosa (Clouded leopard) is the source of this 348-nucleotide long non-coding RNA. RefSeq lists it as uncharacterized. The record is from RefSeq and is a predicted model, not a curated record. Lineage: Eukaryota; Metazoa; Chordata; Mammalia; Carnivora; Felidae. The transcript has 3 exons.
GUUCUAGAACUCUGAAACACCAGACAGGAACUGAAGCAGCACCUCCAUCGUUGGAGCCUGGCUACAAGGGACAGGGGAGGACUGGCUAGAGAAGAGGUGGCAGACGGGAUCUGUGACUGACGAUUGUUCCUCACUUGGGACCAGCACAAGCCACCACCAACUUCAGGCAGGACUCCAGAGAAGGUCUGGAUUCUAGAGCCUUGCUAAGUCUACCAAGCAGUGCCCAGAGUUGGGGUCCAAAUGGUUCCUGAGAUGGAGCCCUGCAACAGACUCUACCCUGACAGCAUGGAGCCUGCCUGGGAUUCAUUCUCUCUCUCUCUCUCUCUCUCCUCUCUCUCUCCCCCUCUC